UGCGUAGGCGGUUCGGUAAGCAUCCUGUGAAAUCCCCCGGCUCAACCGGGGAACUGCAGGAUGUACUGCCGGACUUGAGGUACGUAAAGGUCACUGGAACUCUGGGUGGAGCGGUGAAAUGCGUAGAUAUCCAGGGGAACGCCGAUGGUGAAGACAGGUGGCUGGGCGUAUCCUGACGCUGAGGCACAGAAGCGUGGGGAGCGAACGGGAUUAGAUACCCCGGUAGUCCACGCCCUAAACGAUGUGCACUAGCUUUGGGGACUUCUGACAGUUUCUGAAGCGUAGGAAAACUGUUAAGUGUACCGCCUGGGGAGUACGGUCGCAGGAUUAAA
Molecule: ribosomal RNA, 332 nt
Filed under: uncultured bacterium
Lineage: Bacteria
Description: bacterial SSU rRNA
Rfam family: Bacterial small subunit ribosomal RNA
Source: RNAcentral